AUAAAAGCAAUGAAGGGAAGAGUAAGUAAUGGAAGCUUUUACAGAGAACUCCGUGUGUUGAGAAGGAGAAAGUGAAAACUACUGAAUAUGGUCCUUGAGCGAAUGAAAUUAAAGUGUAAAUCAUAAUUGUUAAUUAUGAUUUGAAUUUGGGUGGUACCGCGGGUGAAAACUCGUCCCAUGA
RNAcentral lists this non-coding RNA (181 nucleotides) under Clostridiales bacterium. RNAcentral describes it as "T-box sequence". It matches the Rfam family "T-box leader". From Rfam's summary of the family: Uncharged tRNA acts as the effector for transcription antitermination of genes in the T-box leader family. T-boxes are found upstream of many aminoacyl-tRNA synthetase genes and some amino acid biosynthetic genes usually in Gram-positive bacteria. The anticodon of a specific tRNA base pairs to a specifier sequence within the T-box motif, and the NCCA acceptor tail of the tRNA base pairs to a conserved bulge in the T-box antiterminator hairpin. Lineage: Bacteria; Bacillati; Bacillota; Clostridia; Eubacteriales. The record is from RNAcentral.